Molecule: non-coding RNA, 84 nt
Organism: Papio anubis (olive baboon)
Lineage: Eukaryota; Metazoa; Chordata; Mammalia; Primates; Cercopithecidae
Source: Rfam
UAUUAGGUUGGUACGAAAGUAUUUGCGGUUUUGGCCAUUGAAAGCAAUGGCCAAAACCGCAAUUACUUUCGUACCAACCUAAUA